CAUUGAACGCAGCCAACAUCAGCACAUCCAAGUCUAAAUUCGUAACUAACAACUACCGGUACUCCGGAUCCGGAUGAAGAAUUUGACCAGAGCGAUCCUUUCCAGUAUUCUUACGCUGUUGAAGUUGACUCGACUGUUAAGGACACUCGCGUGAGGCAAUCGAAAGCGGAACAAAUCCAACAGGGCACUGCUGGACCCAUUGGCAUCCAGUGAAUAGGUGGAUUGUGCGUUGGGCGGAUGCAGUGAUUUGGCGGAUUGCUACGUAUUGCAAAAAAAAAAAAAAAAAAAUUCACUCCCCCACUUUAACACCUUCAUCAAGUGUAAGGAUACAAUAUCUUACA
Molecule: long non-coding RNA, 341 nt
Organism: Daphnia pulex (common water flea)
Lineage: Eukaryota; Metazoa; Arthropoda; Branchiopoda; Diplostraca; Daphniidae
Exons: 2
Source: RefSeq, a predicted model, not a curated record